Molecule: ribosomal RNA, 253 nt
Filed under: uncultured bacterium
Lineage: Bacteria
Description: partial 16S ribosomal RNA
Rfam family: Bacterial small subunit ribosomal RNA
Source: RNAcentral
UACGUAGGGGGCUAGCGUUGCUCGGAAUUACUGGGCGUAAAGGGCGCGUAGGCAGAUAGUUUAGUCAGAGGUAAAAGCCCAGGGCUCAACCUUGGAACUGCCUUUGAUACUGAUUAUCUUGAGUACGGGAGAGGUGUGUGGAACUCCGAGUGUAGAGGUGAAAUGCGUAGAUAUUCGGAAGAACACCAGUGGCGAAGGCGACACACUGGCCCGUUACUGACGCUGAGGCGCGAAAGCGUGGGGAGCAAACAGG